GGAUUAGAUACCCGGGUAGUCCACGCCGUAAACGGUGGGUGCUAGGUGUGAGCGGUAUUCCACGCCGUUCGUGCCGCAGCUAACGCAUUAAGCACCCCGCCUGGGGAGUACGGCCGCAAGGCUAAAACUCAAAGGAAUUGACGGGGGCCCGCACAAGCAGCGGAGCAUGUGGCUUAAUUCGACGCAACGCGAAGAACCUUACCAAGGCUUGACAUGCAGGGAAAUCUCGUAGAGAUACGGGGUCCGCAAGGGCCCUGCACAGGUGGUGCAUGGUUGUCGUCAGCUCGUGUCGUGAGAUGUUGGGUUAAGUCCCGCAACGAGCG
Molecule: ribosomal RNA, 323 nt
Filed under: uncultured bacterium
Lineage: Bacteria
Description: bacterial SSU rRNA
Rfam family: Bacterial small subunit ribosomal RNA
Source: RNAcentral